GGGGAAUAUUGCACAAUGGGCGAAAGCCUGAUGCAGCAACGCCGCGUGAGUGAUGAAGGUCUUCGGAUUGUAAAGCUCUGUCUUUUGGGACGAUAAUGACGGUACCAAAGGAGGAAGCCACGGCUAACUACGUGCCAGCAGCCGCGGUAAUACGUAGGUGGCGAGCGUUGUCCGGAUUUACUGGGCGUAAAGGGUGCGUAGGCGGAUGUUUAAGUGAGAUGUGAAAUACCCGGGCUUAACUUGGGUGCUGCAUUUCAAACUGGAUAUCUAGAGUGCAGGAGAGGAGAAUGGAAUUCCUAGUGUAGCGGUGAAAUGCGUAGAGAUUAGGAAGAACACCAGUGGCGAAGGCGAUUCUCUGGACUGUAACUGACGCUGAGGCACGAAAGCGUGGGUAGCAAACAGGAUUAGAUACCCUGGUAGUCCACGCCGUAAACGAUGAGUACUAGGUGUAGGAGGUAUCGACCCCUUCUGUGCCGCAGUAAACACAUUAAGUACUCCGCCUGGGAAGUACGAUCGCAAGAUUA
This 524-nucleotide ribosomal RNA is filed under the name uncultured bacterium. Its description in RNAcentral is "partial 16S ribosomal RNA". It matches the Rfam family "Bacterial small subunit ribosomal RNA", at positions 356 to 896 of the family's 1533-position model. The record is from RNAcentral.